GGCUGUCCAAAGGAUUUUUUUCCUCCCAAAUGAAUCAUGGAAAUUAGAGAUAGAAAAGAUCAAGUCAGAAGUGGAUAAAACCCUACGAUAGUACCAGUUUAAUACAAUCUUGUUACCAAGCUUUUAGGAGGAGAAACAUGCCUGAAUGAUUAUCUUCAAAGCUCCAAGGGCAGGAGGAUAAACAGCAAGGAAGGAAAAGAGCCAUGAUUCAUCAGCUCAAGUCGUUUCAGCAUGAAAAAGAGGUGUAGGAGGGUUGGGAAGAGAAAUUUAAAUUACCAUUAUUUCUAAAGAGACGGUAACUCAUGAAAUCAGGAAGUGCCCCAGAGGAGUUUCUGGGGAAACACCUUCUAGAACAUAAGUGAGGAAGAACUGUUAUAUCUCACUUGUGUACAAGGCAGAAGUUCUAGAUCUCUAUGAGAAGAUUAAUGCAUUUAUUAGGAGUGAUAGUUGGGUAUGGCAGUUUUGGCUGGUUAGUGGAAUCUUAAGCCCAAGAAAUGCUGGGAAAUAAGACAUGUAUACAGGAUGAGUAUUUAACAUCUUUCUGAAAUUGAUCUCCUGAGAACCACUUGAGGCUAGCAAUUAUUUUUUAAUCUGCCACAGAUAAAAUUUUCAAAUUAAUAAUAAGGUAUUUACCAAAAUGAUGAACAUAGUGUAAUAACCUAGAGGAAUUAGACACCUUUAGAUAACAGAAAAGAGAAGAUACUACUUAUAACAGUGGUACAAAGAGGAACAUGUGAUUCUCAGGACUUUCCACAGACAGCAGGGACCUCUUCAGUAAGGGGAAGUACAGUGUGAAGUGAGGAAGAAUAGCAAGACAGGCUGUCUCCUGCAACAAUGAAUCUCUCUUUAUAAUGAAGUCCUCUGGCAGAGAAAAGUAAUUCACAACAAUAGGAUUCACCUUCAAAUUGACCUUAAAAAGAAAGAGCAUUUAGUUCUGGAAAGAAGCUUCAACUGUCAUACCUUUUAAUGCUCAAUUGUUUAUACCUACAGUGGUGUUGAAGUACACUUCAGCUUUUCCAGGCCAAUUCCAACAAUGUCAGUGGGACAAAGAGAUUCUCAAUAGCCAUCAGACUUUUGUUAAUCUAUGUUAAAAUGUGACUUUUACUUAAACAGUUAUUUUAAGAUAUUAUUUACUUUA
Long non-coding RNA from Passer domesticus (house sparrow), 1138 nucleotides. RefSeq lists it as uncharacterized. NCBI's taxonomy places the organism in Eukaryota, Metazoa, Chordata, Aves, Passeriformes, Passeridae. The record is from RefSeq and is a predicted model, not a curated record. The transcript is spliced from 3 exons.